RNAcentral lists this ribosomal RNA (439 nucleotides) under uncultured bacterium. Its description in RNAcentral is "partial 16S ribosomal RNA". It matches the Rfam family "Bacterial small subunit ribosomal RNA", at positions 339 to 795 of the family's 1533-position model. The record is from RNAcentral.
CUACGGGUCGCUGCAGUGAGGAAUAUUGCACAAUGGGGGGAACCCUGAUGCAGCAACGCCGCGUGGAGGAUGACGCAUUUCGGUGUGUAAACUCCUUUUAUAUGUCAAGAAAAUGACGGUAGCAUAUGAAUAAGCACCGGCUAACUCCGUGCCAGCAGCCGUGGUAAUACGGAGGGUGCAAGCGUUACUCGGAAUCACUGGGCGUAAAGGACGCGUAGGCGGGUUGGAAAGUCAGGUGUGAAAUCCUACAGCUUAACUGUAGAACUGAACUUGAAACUUCUAAUCUAGAGUAUGGGAGGGGGAGAUGGAAUUAGUGGUGUAGGGGUAAAAUCCGUAGAUAUCACUAGGAAUACCUAAAGCGAAGGCGAUCUCCUGGAACAUUACUGACGCUAAGGCGUGAAAGCGUGGGGAGCAAACAGGAUUAGAUACCCUAGUAGUC